GAAAGUAUUCAAGGGCGCACGGCGGAUGCCUAGGCUCUUACAGGCGAUGAAGGACGUGAUAAGCUGCGACAAGCCGCGGUGAGGCGCAAAUGGCCAUUGACCCGCGGGUUUCCGAAUGGGGCAACCCAACGUUUUGAAGAAACGUUAUCCCGCGGAUGCGGGAGGCGAACGCGGGGAACUGAAACAUCUUAGUACCCGCAGGAGAAGAAAAUAAAGAAUGAUUCCCCCAGUAGUGGCGAGCGAACGGGGAAUAGCCCAAACCGGCGUUGUCCAGGCAUCGCCGGGGUUGUAGGACCGCGAUGUCGCAAGAGUGAUGGCGAGUGGAAGGAACUGGAAAGUUCCGCCAUAGAGGGUGACAGCCCCUUACACGAAGCCAUGCGAAGCGUAGCGGAAUCCUGAGUAGCGCGGGACACGUGUAAUCCUGUGUGAAUCAGCCGGGCCCAUCCGGCAAGGCUAAAUACUCGUAAGAGACCGAUAGUGAACCAGUACCGUGAGGGAAAGGUGAAAAGCACCCCUGUUAGGGGAGUGAAAAAGACCCUGAAACCGUGCGCCUACAAGCGGUCGGAGCGCCCAUUGGGCGUGACGGCGUGCCUUUUGCAUAAUGAACCUACGAGUUGCCGUCACCGGCAAGGCCAAGGGGCAUGAGCCCCGCAGCCGCAGCGGAAGCGAGUCUUAAAAGGGCGCAGGAGUCGGUGGUGGCAGACGCGAAACCAAGUGAUCUACACUUGGCCAGGAUGAAGUCCCGGUAACACGGGAUGGAGGUCCGCACCAAUAAGCGUUGAAAAGCUUCUGGAUGAGCCGAGUGUAGGAGUGAAAGGCCAAUCAAACUUGGAGAUAGCUCGUACUCCCCGAAAGGCAUUUAGGUGCCGCCUGUGGAGUUCCCGGCGCGAGGUAGAGCGACUGAUAGGAUGCGAGGGCUUCACCGCCUGUCAAGUCCUGACAAACUCCGAAUGCGCGCCGGCCAAUCCAUGGAGUAAGGGCACGGGUGCUAAGGUCCGUGCCCGAGAGGAGAAGAAUCCAGACCACCGGCCAAGGUCCCGAAAUGCUGGUUAAGUUAGACUAACGCAGUCCGUCCCCCCAGACAGCUAGGAUGUUGGCUUGGAAGCAGCCAUUCAUUCAAAGAGUGCGUAACAGCUCACUAGUCGAGGGGAUGGGCGUGGAUAAUAAUCGGGUAUGAAACCAGUUACCGAAGCCGUGGGAUAUGAGAAUAUCGGUAGGGGAGCAUUCCAUCCUGCGUCGAAGGCGCCGCGCGAGCGGCUCUGGAGCGGAUGGAAAAGCAAAUGUAGGUAUAAGUAACGAUAAGGAGGGUGCGAUCCCCUCCCGCCGAAAGACCAAGGUUUCCUGAACAACGCCAAUCGGUUCAGGGUGAGUCGGUCCCUAAGCAUAAGCCUAAGGGCGAGGGCGAUGGAUCAAACGGUUAAUAUUCCGUUACUGUCUUGGUGUGUGACGCGGCGACGGAGAAGUGACACGGCCGCCCCCUGACGGAAAAGGGGGUUUAAGCGCAAAGGUUACGAGGGAGGCAGGCAAGCCCACCUCCCGAGCCGAAGCGCGAAAGUACGCGGCGCCCUUCUGGGCAACGCGACAGCGCCGGUAACCAUGCUCCCGAGAAAACCCGCUAAACUCCAGCACCAAGUCAUCCGUACCGUAAACGGACACACGUGGUCGGGUAGAACAUACUAAGGCGCUUGGGAGAUUCACGGUUAAGGAACUAGGCAAAUUGACCCCGUACCUUCGGAACAAGGGGUCCUCGUGUAAACGAGGCGCAGAGAAUAGGUCCAGGCAACUGUUUAACAAAAACACAGGGCUGUGCAAAUUCGAAAGAAGCCGUAUACAGCCUGACACCUGCCCGGUGCCGGAAGGUUAAGAGGAGGGCUCAUACUUAUGUAGAAGGCCCGAAUUGAAGCCCCGGUAAACGGCGGCCGUAACUAUAACGGUCCUAAGGUAGCGAAAUUCCUUGUCGGGUAAGUUCCGACCUGC
This 1977-nucleotide ribosomal RNA is filed under the name human gut metagenome. Its description in RNAcentral is "bacterial LSU rRNA". It matches the Rfam family "Bacterial large subunit ribosomal RNA", at positions 1 to 1991 of the family's 2925-position model. The record is from RNAcentral.